GUAAACUCCUUUAAGGAGGAAAGAGGGUGUGAGGGUUAAUAUCUUCAACAAUGGACGUUACUCGCAGAAUAAGCACCGGCUAACUCUGUGCCAGCAGCCGCGGUAAUACAGAGGGUGCGAGCGUUAAUCGGAAUUACUGGGCGUAAAGCGCGCGCAGGCGGUUUUUCAAGUCGGAUGUGAAAUCCCCGAGCUCAACUUGGGAAUUGCAUUCGAUACUGGCAAGCUAGAGUAUGGUAGAGGAUGGUAGAAUUCCAGGUGUAGCGGUGAAAUGCGUAGAGAUCUGGAGGAAUACCGAUGGCGAAGGCGGACAUCUGGCCUAAUACUGACGCUCAGGUGCGAAAGCAUGGGGAGCAAACAGGAUUAGAUACCCUGGUAGUCCACGCCGUAAACGAUGUCUACUAGGAGGUGGGGCCUUUGAGGCGUUAGUUCCGCAGCUAACGCGAUAAGUAGACCGCCUGGGGAGUACGGUCGCAAGGUUAAAACUCAAAUGAAUUGACGGGGGCCCGCACAAGCGGUGGAGCAUGUGGUUUAAUUCGAUGCAACGCGAAGAACCUUACCUGCCCUUGACAUCCAGGGAACUUUCCAGAGAUGGAUUGGUGCCUUCGGGAAUUUAGAGACAGGUGCUGCAUGGCUGUCGUCAGCUCGUGUCGUGAAAUGUUGGGUUAAGUCCCGCAACGAGCGCAACCCUUUUCCUUAGUUGCCAGCGGUUCGGCCGGGAACUCAAAGGAGACUGCCAGUGACAAACUGGAGGAAGGCGGGGACGACGUCAAGUCAUCAUGGCCCUUACGACCAGGGCUACACACGUGCUACAAUGGUCGGUACAAAGGGAAGCUACCCAGCGAGGGCAAGCGAUCCUCAAAAAACCGCAUCGUAGUCCGGAUUGGAGUCUGCAACUCGACUCCAUGAAGUCGGAAUCGCUAGUAAUUGGGGAUCAGAAAGCCGCGGGGAAUACGUUCCCGGGCCUUGGACCCCCCCCCCGUCCCCCCCAGGGAGUUGGGUGCCCCAGAAGUAGGUAGUCUACCCUAGGAGGCGCUACCCCUGUUUUCCC
RNAcentral lists this ribosomal RNA (1048 nucleotides) under Acinetobacter junii. RNAcentral's name for it is "bacterial SSU rRNA". It matches the Rfam family "Bacterial small subunit ribosomal RNA", at positions 425 to 1469 of the family's 1533-position model. Lineage: Bacteria; Pseudomonadati; Pseudomonadota; Gammaproteobacteria; Moraxellales; Moraxellaceae. The record is from RNAcentral.